CCUACGGGAGGCAGCAGUAGGGAAACUCCACAAUGGACGAAAGUCUGAUGGAGCAACGCCGCGUGAAUGAAGAAGGCCUUCGGGUCGUAAAAUUCUGUUGUCAGAGAAGAACGUGCGUGAGAGUAACUGUUCACGUAUUGACGGUAUCUGACCAGAAAGCCACGGCUAACUACGUGCCAGCAGCCGCGGUAAU
This 193-nucleotide ribosomal RNA is filed under the name uncultured Lactobacillus sp. RNAcentral describes it as "partial 16S ribosomal RNA". It matches the Rfam family "Bacterial small subunit ribosomal RNA", at positions 338 to 524 of the family's 1533-position model. Lineage: Bacteria; Bacillati; Bacillota; Bacilli; Lactobacillales; Lactobacillaceae. The record is from RNAcentral.